Long non-coding RNA from Oreochromis niloticus (Nile tilapia), 5068 nucleotides. RefSeq lists it as uncharacterized. Lineage: Eukaryota; Metazoa; Chordata; Actinopteri; Cichliformes; Cichlidae. The transcript is spliced from 2 exons. The record is from RefSeq and is a predicted model, not a curated record.
CCUUGGCUUCUCUGUUCUUAGUGCAUCUCAAAUGCCAGCAGGUCACCAUGUGGCCUCAGUGAAAUGCCACUAUGUCAGGCUGUGUCGAUUGAUGAUGGCAGUCACGUUAAAUGUAAUCAGGUGAAUUAACCUUUUGCCUGUGACGCUCAGACCAGUCCUGGACACCUCUGUGCCCUUGGCACUUUAGCUACAUGUGCAUGCGCGUGUCUGCUUUUGUAUGUUUUUGUUUAAUGCCAAAACUGUGUUUCAGACCUGGUCACUACCAAACAACACUGGCAAUAACAACAAGAGCUAGAAGACUUUAUUACCCUCAGAUUUAUGGGAAAAUGUAUAGAAACGCGUGAUAUAGAAACACCACUCGAAAAACCGAGAACAUAACUGCUCGACAAAAUGCAGAGGGCUAGCCCACAAGAAACAUAUCGUUAUUAAAAAGUGCCAUAUCCACAGUUAAAAACCUUACAAUAGAGAAAUAAUAUUAACUUUAUGAAUAAAGUACCACUGAGAAAUGAGAAUUCCUAUAUGAACACAGGUGUACAGUAUGACCGUUUCAAGCAACAGGAGUCAAUGCAAGUGAGCAAAAUAUAAUAGAGUAUGCCCAGUAUCCAAAGUGACAGAUUAUAGUGACAGCUGAUAUUGAAACCACUUGGGUUUUUUAGUUUAUAAUGACUGAAUCUAAUAUGUUUCUCUUUGUAACCAAAAUAUGUCUCUAUUAACAUAAACACUGUUAGGAAUUUGAACCUUGAAAUCAAAGAAAAACAUCUUAUUCCAUAAUUUCCUUAUUGGAUAUUUGUUGUUGCUUUUAGGCUCAUGAGAGAUACGGAGCUCCUGACACACCGUUUAAGAUCUGUAGAUGAGUGCACUGCUUGAAUGCAGAUUAGACAUGAGAUAAAUUCAGCUUUUUUCACGAAAAUAAACACGGUGAAGUCGAUGCCUGAUAUGAAACCCUGGGCGGACUCCUCCUGGUCUCCUCACAGAUGUCACUGCUUUUUAAUGUACACCCUCCUCCUAGUGGAGAGAUGCGAUAUCAAACAUGCUGCUCAACAUGAAUUUGAACUCAUCCUCACAUAAUCUGAGCAGUUAUAAAAUCUCACAUUGUGAGAGGCGUGUGCCUGUGUGUGAGUUUGAAUUCUUCAAUCCUUCUUUUUUCAGCCUAUAUCAUGCCGCCAUAUGGUCCCACUGUUUUUACAGGGAGAGUCUGCCCUCUUGUGGUUUUAGCUUUUAUCACAGUUGAAUGAGAAGGAAAAUUGCACAAUCACCAAGUAUUAGUUCUUGGUGAAUUCUGUGAGAUGUAGGAAAUAUUAUUAGCAAGUCUGCAGAUAUUGCAGCUGCACAUUACUGCUGUGUUACCACAUCCCAAAGGAGUUGUGACAGGCUCGAAUCGGAGACAGAAGCCACUGAAGUCCACUUAACUCUUUCUCAUGUUCAUAAGAGCAGUUUCAGACAACUUGCAUCAUCAUACUGCGGGCAACCUUUGGAAGAUGCGCACGGUCAGCAGCAAUAUUCAAAUAAGCUUUGGCCUUUAAAGUAAAAUGAGUGGGAACAGCAACUGUUUACACAAGCCAGGUUGGGUCCAUAAAUUCAUGUGCUUGAAGCCAAAUUUUCUGAGCCUACCAUCUUCAGCCUCAGCAGAAACUGAGUUUGAUCUGACUGUCCUGUUUGUUGUGUCUUAGAAAGCCUGUGUCCACUGUAGUUUCACAUUUCUGUUUUUGGUUGACAACAAUGGAGCCCAACAUCAUUUUCUUCUGUUGAUGUGAGGUGAGGUGUGAGGUGUUUUGCAUCCUGACAUAAUCGGUGGUUUCACAGCUGUUGUAUCUGAUUCACCCAUUUUUCUCUGACCCAUGCACAACUACUGCUCAUUUGCAACAUGAUGGUUAAACUCCAGAAACUGUUUUGCUUGGAGAUCAACAGUUUCAAGAACACUAAAGCCACGAUCAAAGUCACUGAGUUUACAUUUUGUCCCCACCCUGAUGUUUCUGAGAAUACAUGACUUCUGACUUUAAUCUUUAACUUUUUAAUCAGAGUAUAGCAUCAAGUCAUUUAAACUUGUAGGAUCUGUGGAUUAGUUUCAGCUGCUUUGGUGUUAAUGAAAUUAACAACAGGUGCAAUAGAGCAGCAACAAUGAGACAACAACCAAAACAGGAGUGGUGGAGGCACAGGUAGAGGUGGAGGCCACUGACAUUUUUUCCCUCCUGAUCUUUUCUGACUACAUUUUCAUUUGACUAGGGCGAGUAUCAUUACUGGUAGUGAUACCUGGACCCUACAGAGGUUGUAGGAUGUAGUCCAACACCUCCAGGAUGGGGCAUCAACAUGUACCAUUGUCAGAAGGUUUGCUGUGUCCCCCGGCACAGUCUAAAAAACAUGGAGGUGAUUCCAGGAAGCAGGCAGUUACUCUAAGAGCUCGACAGGGCUGUAGAAGUUCCAAACCCAUCAGCAGGACUGGUAUCUACUCUUUUGUGCAAGGAUGAACAGGGUGAGCUCAGCAACAACGUGACCUCCAGCAGUACACUGGUGUGAAUGUCUCUGACCAAACAAUCAGAAACAGACUGAGUGUGGCCUGAGGGCAUUCGCCAUAGAAUACCAGAAUUGUCAGAUCCACCAGUGGCAGCCUGAGCUUUUCACAGAUGAGAGCAGGUUCGCCCUGAUGCUACCUGUAACACCGUUCAGCAUGACUGGUUUGGUGGUGGGUCAGUGAUGGUGUAGGGAGGCACAUCCAUGGAGGGACACACAACCCUUUACAGUUUAGGCAAAAACACCCUGACUGCCAGAUUUGGGAGGAGAUUCGCAGGACACCACCUAUUGUCUCAUUAGGAGCAUGUCCUGAUGUUGUCAGGAAUGCCAUACAAACUACUGAGCACCAUUUUGCAUACAAUUAAUUUUCAUUUUUAUUAAAUUACAUUAAAUGGCAUCAUUUUAUUUGUAAUGCAUUACCCAGUCCCCAGUAGUGGAGAUAUCCAGCAUGUUUUUAAAAAAAAAAUUGAGAUCUGAUAUGUUUUCAAAGUGUUCCUUUCAUUAUUUUUAGCAUUGCACAUUUGCAUGUACUUGAUUUCAUAGUUUAGUAAGGCUGCAACGACUCGUCACCAUAAUUGAUCACGCCUGUGUAUAAACAUUUGUACUCAGUUUCUUGUUAUCAGAAUUAACUAUAUUAACAUGAGUCUCUUAACCUUCCAACUAAUCCAAACACCACACCAAAGGUCAUUUAAAAAAUGUGGUUACUAGACACCUGAGAAAAAGUAUGAAAGACACUAGCCUAAUUUUCUUAUUUUUCAACAGGUUAUCUCAAUUUAAAAGCAUUAAACAGUCCCACUUACUUUAACCUCCUCUUGCCUUGGGCCAUAUCAUUGCUGUCUCAACUUCCUCAAAGGGUGUUCCCACACUAAAAUGCAACAAUAUAUCACUUCCGUUCCUCAUUUGAAAGAGAAAACCGGUUAUGACACAUGAGGUGCUAAAGCCUAAAAUUUCUCAGAGGGGGUCUUAAAGACUCUGUGUUGGACAUCUUGGCAACAAUAGUGAUGCACUGAUGGGAAAAUGCAUCUUGGUUUUGGCUGGCCUCCUAUAAAACCGCAGGGCAAAAAUGUCCAACAGUAACCCUUCACACGCUCCAUUUCUCACACCAUCUCUCCUGGAUAACUUUUUAAGGAUGACCACGAUACAGCUGGUGGGUGUGAAACAGCAUACGUUGUAUUCUCACAGUUUUUCUAUAUGUGCAAACUUCCUUUCAAACAUUUACUUUCACUUUGAAAGUGACCUUGCUAUAAAGGCAGUUUGUAAUACUUUGAGAAAAAAUAAAACGCUCCCCAGAUUAUGAGUCUUGUGUGCAUGUGGCUUGCGGCUGAGCUUGAGGUGGCCACAUCUCAACCAAUACCCGGCUUUAAGUACAACUCACUCUAUGCUUGGUCUUAUUCCGGCCAACUAUAAUGGGAAAUGUUUUCCACUCCAAGCUUUCCUGGAGCAGUGCGCAGUGCAUUUUAAUGUGUAGGUAUGUGUCUAAAAAACCCUAAAUGGAAGCAGAUGUUUUAGUCAAAAGAAUAAAAGUUUACAUGGGGUUGUAAUCAAGUGAGGGACUUUUCUUUCGUUUUCAGCUUCUUCUUUUUUUUCCCUCGUAGUAAUUUGAGUCUAUUUUUCUGUCAAAAUGAGCCUGGUGCGCUGCAUCGUGUGCAUGGCUGAACUGAGCUGGGUUGUGCUGAGCUAUGCAGCCACAUAUGGGAGCGAUUACAGUCCAGUGUUUAUCAGACCUUGCUGAGAGACCGACUGUGUGGCUGAGCAGAGCAGAACCAGCCAUGUGCAGAUGAUUUCAGUUCCCAGCCUACAACCUUGUAGGGGAAAUCAGACAAGUAAUACAAUAUAGCAAAACAGCGUGCGAUCGGGACUCCUGGGAGCAGAAACUGAAAUAACUGGUUAGUUUACCAGUCGGAUAAUUCAUUUAUAGGAAAUGUAUGCACGAUCAUUUCCAUACUAUAGUUAAAAAACAGGGAAGGUGCCAAAAUUCAAAGCCUCAAAGUGUGUUGACAGAUCUGCUGCAUAUGUGAAAACAGUUGUAUAAAGCUGCUCGUGUCUCCAGAGGGAGCUGUGUGAACUUGGAAAUGUAAUAUAAAAAAACAACAAAAACAAAUCGAGGGAUGUGGAGUCACCCAUGAGUGAAUGAAACUGUAAAAAUGUUUUAUAAAAAAAAGUAUGUAUAUAUAAUCUUACAUGUCAUAACACAUCUUAUUGUCAUGCAAGUAUUUCCAAAUGUUUUGAGCCACCCCUUCUUUAUAUUUUGCAGGGAAAUGGGAGAAAGGUGGCAUGACUUAUUGAAACAUAUGCAAGAAUUUGUGGGAAUGCAGUAUAUAAAGGCCAAAACAGAGUCUGUACAUCAUACUGAUGAUGAUUUCAACCAAAAGUCAUUUUUACUCAAUUUUGUGUGUAAUUUGACACAUCUCAGGCUUUUCUCCCUGUUUCCUUUCCUUAAGAAUGGCUUCUAGACAGCUAGCCAUACGUCAAGAUCAUUUGUGAUAAAGCUACAGUGAACAAUGGAUCAACUGAAAGCCCAGACACAUCUCUCAGACCCGUGACACCUGUCAAACACUGU